UACAGAGGGGGCUAGCGUUGUUCGGAAUUACUGGGCGUAAAGGGCGCGUAGGUGGCCUGUUAAGUCGACCGUGAAAUCCCCGGGCUCAACCCGGAAACUGCGUCCGAGACUGGCAGGCUCGAAUCCGGGAGAGGGAUGUGGAAUUCCAGGUGUAGCGGUGAAAUGCGUAGAUAUCUGGAGGAACACCGGUGGCGAAGGCGGCAUCCUGGACCGGCAUUGACGCUGAGGCGCGAAAGCCAGGGGAGCAAACGGG
This 253-nucleotide ribosomal RNA is filed under the name uncultured bacterium. RNAcentral describes it as "partial 16S ribosomal RNA". It matches the Rfam family "Bacterial small subunit ribosomal RNA", at positions 524 to 776 of the family's 1533-position model. The record is from RNAcentral.